RNAcentral lists this transfer RNA (74 nucleotides) under Crassvirales sp. RNAcentral's name for it is "tRNA-Ile". It matches the Rfam family "tRNA". Rfam says of the family: Transfer RNA (tRNA) molecules are approximately 80 nucleotides in length. Their secondary structure includes four short double-helical elements and three loops (D, anti-codon, and T loops). The record is from RNAcentral. Lineage: Duplodnaviria; Heunggongvirae; Uroviricota; Caudoviricetes; Crassvirales.
AGGGAUUUAACUCAGAUGGUUAGAGUAUCUCGCUGAUACCGAGAAAGUCCCAGGUUCGAAUCCUGGAAUCCCUA